UACGUUGGGUGCAAGCGUUAAUCGGAAUUACUGGGCGUAAAGCGUGCGCAGGCGGUUAUGUAAGACAGAUGUGAAAUCCCCGGGCUCAACCUGGGAACUGCAUUUGUGACUGCAUAGCUAGAGUACGGUAGAGGGGGAUGGAAUUCCGCGUGUAGCAGUGAAAUGCGUAGAUAUGCGGAGGAACACCGAUGGCGAAGGCAAUCCCCUGGACCUGUACUGACGCUCAUGCACGAAAGCGUGGGGAGCAAACAGG
RNAcentral lists this ribosomal RNA (253 nucleotides) under uncultured bacterium. Its description in RNAcentral is "partial 16S ribosomal RNA". It matches the Rfam family "Bacterial small subunit ribosomal RNA", at positions 524 to 776 of the family's 1533-position model. The record is from RNAcentral.